RNAcentral lists this ribosomal RNA (254 nucleotides) under uncultured bacterium. Its description in RNAcentral is "partial 16S ribosomal RNA". It matches the Rfam family "Bacterial small subunit ribosomal RNA", at positions 524 to 776 of the family's 1533-position model. The record is from RNAcentral.
UACGUAGGGCGCGAGCGUUGUCCGGAAUUAUUGGGCGUAAAGCGCACGUAGGCGGCAUUGUAAGUCGGAUGUGAAAUCCCUCGGCUCAACCAAGGAAGUGCAUCCGAAACUGCAGUGCUUGAGUACUUAAGAGGAUCGCGGAAUUCCCGGUGUAGAGGUGAAAUUCGUAGAUAUCGGGAGGAACACCAGUGGCGAAGGCGGCGAUCUGGGGAAGAUACUGACGCUGAGGUGCGAAAGCGUGGGGAGCAAACAGG